Molecule: non-coding RNA, 427 nt
Organism: Mastomys coucha (southern multimammate mouse)
Lineage: Eukaryota; Metazoa; Chordata; Mammalia; Rodentia; Muridae
Source: the annotation of a RefSeq genome assembly
ACAGACAUGACCACACCAUGAAAACAACAUAUGCUCAGUGUCCUCUCCACAGUCCCUGAAUGCACUGAUUCUAGUCAUGGAAUGGAGCUGGGUCUUUCUCUUCCUCCUGUCAGUAACUGCAGGUGUCCACUCCCAGGUUCAGCUGCAGCAGUCUGGAGCUGAGCUGGUGAAACCUGGGGCUUCAGUGAAGCUGUCCUGCAAGGCUUCUGGCUACACAUUCACUAGCUAUACUAUGCAGUGGGUGAAGCAGAGGCCUGGACAGGGCCUUGAGUGGAUUGGAUGGAUUUAUCCUGGAGAUGGUGAUACUAACUACAAUGAAAAGUUCAAGGGCAAGGCCACACUGACUGCAGACACAUCCUCCAACACAGCCUACAUGCAACUCAGCAGCCUGACAUCUGAGGACUCUGCGGUCUAUUACUGUGCAAGA